Molecule: ribosomal RNA, 264 nt
Filed under: Triticum aestivum (bread wheat)
Lineage: Eukaryota; Viridiplantae; Streptophyta; Magnoliopsida; Poales; Poaceae
Description: partial small subunit ribosomal RNA
Source: RNAcentral
GUAGUAACAGUCGGACAAGUGGGUAAUGUUGGGGUGAACCAAAAAAGUUUGGGUAGAGCCGGAUCUAAGUGUUGGCUAGGUAAAAGCCCCGUAAUAAGAGGGGUAGUUAUGAACCCUGUGGACCACCCCCAUGGGGGCGGUGAAGGGAAAGCUCCCAUUGGUAGAGAAAAACCCACAACCCCUUGGGGUUAUCCUGCGCUUGGAAGAAGAACUAGGAAAAGGAAAAAAUAUAGCGAUAGUUUUAUUCUUCGUCGCCGUAAGUAA